Long non-coding RNA from Suricata suricatta (meerkat), 463 nucleotides. RefSeq lists it as uncharacterized. The record is from RefSeq and is a predicted model, not a curated record. The transcript is spliced from 5 exons. NCBI's taxonomy places the organism in Eukaryota, Metazoa, Chordata, Mammalia, Carnivora, Herpestidae.
CUUCAACAUGAAUCUGAAGGGACACAAACGAAGUGAGAGAACCUGAGCCAGAGAUGUCCAGCUAAGUCAUGUUGAGAUUCUUGACCUACAGAAACUAUGAGACAGCUGUAUUGAACGAGAGAUAUGGAAGCAGAAACAUGGAGUUCUGUCAAUUUCUCUUUGUGCAAGCUGUCAAACAGUGCUCAGUCUCUAGCAAUGACAUAUGUUAACUGUGGUCCAAAUGCAGGCAACAUGGAUACAAAAAUGCCUGAGAUGUGAAGUUGAAACUCAGACACCGGUCUCUAGUGACACUGAUCACAUCCCUUUGGAGCUUAGUUCAUCCUUUGGCUAUUCUGUGAAGCUUUUCUUUUCCAUCUAGCCUGAAUUUUCAUGUACCACUAUGUGUAAGAGAACAAAACAAUAACAGAGAAACUGAGGACUUUUCUCCAUGCCACACAGCAAGUCAGUGCCAUGGUUGUGCAAC